Myodes glareolus (Bank vole) is the source of this 453-nucleotide non-coding RNA. The record is from RefSeq and is a predicted model, not a curated record. NCBI's taxonomy places the organism in Eukaryota, Metazoa, Chordata, Mammalia, Rodentia, Cricetidae.
GCUUCCAGGGCGCUGGGGUCAUAGCCCUCUACAGGGCACACGAAGUUAGUCCUGAUGCCACACAGGGGGAGACCCAGCUCAGACCCUGACUUUAAAUUAUGAGUGGUCCCAGCUGCUUAGACUGCGGCUAGUGACCCCGGACGGCGCUACAUAACUGCAUGCUGGAAUCGUGAGAAACUGGGCACCACUAGAUGUUUCUGCGUGUGCAAUGAUUAAAACCUGAUUCAAACAAAACGUGCAGGGAUCUGGGGUGUUGCUGGAAGGCCUUGCUAGUGUUGCAUCACGUGAACCCCUGGAGCCUCAGUUCUGAACACACAACACAAACCAGCCCUGCCUCAAACACCCAGUCAGCUCAAAUUCAAGACCAUGUCAUAAUCUGCAGCUUUAACUCUUCAUACAAAGUGAAUUACAGAAAUAGUUAUUAAAAAUAGUAUUUUUCUAUUGUAUCAAGUA